Cucumis melo (muskmelon) is the source of this 966-nucleotide long non-coding RNA. RefSeq lists it as uncharacterized. The transcript is spliced from 4 exons. Lineage: Eukaryota; Viridiplantae; Streptophyta; Magnoliopsida; Cucurbitales; Cucurbitaceae. The record is from RefSeq and is a predicted model, not a curated record.
CCGUGCUCUAGAAAAUAAAAAAGAAAAAGAAAAGGAGAAAAGGAAAAAGAAGAAACCCUAACAGCCGCCGCCGCCGCCUUCCGCCACCCCGCCGCGCGCUGGCCGCGAAGCCCCGUCGCAGAUCCGCCGCGCUCAGCGAACUCCUGCCCAAGCGUCGCUGCGGCCGCCUGCACACCGUCGCCCGAAGCCGACCCGACCCGCGUUACCCUUCGCGAUCCGCAGCCGAUCCGUUCGUAGCCGCCUGCCGCCACGUGAAACUUCGUCCGCCGCGUCGUCGAGCAACAGCGACCGUCGGUCGUCAGCCGCACGUCUCCAGUCGUCGCCCGAACCCGAAGCUGAACCCGCGUCCGCAUACUGCUCCGUGCCCGCGCGCCGCCCCGAGUCGCAAACCGAGCCGCACGCGUCCAGCUCUCUCUGUGUGCAAGCCGCGCCGCCUGCACCGCAAGCCGAGCCGCACUCGCACAGUUUCUGCACCGAGCCGAGUCGCGCCUGUGCCAAGCCGAGUCAGUCCCUAUUCUUUUUCAGCCGAGCCGCCAAGUCUUUUAGCCACCUAAUUUUUGGUCUUUUCCCCAAGUGUCAGUGGCCACCUUGGACGAUUUGACUUGGAGCGUGGAUUUCUUCAGUAGGGGCUCAAGCAUUGCAACCUCGACCUAGGUUAGGACCUCGUUGCUUGGAAAGCACACUUGUCUUGCGGUUAGGACUCGUCGAGUAAAUCUCCAGGUAGAGGCCGAGGUAGGGGCAAAGGCAAGCUGGCGAGCGACCAGAAGUGACCGUGGCGAGCCAUAGGGAUUUCUGCUUCCACUUACCCCGUUUUAGAACUUUUGUACUUGAGUUUUAUUUUCCUUCCUAUUCAUUAUUUCAUUGUUUAAAAGUAGAUAGGGCCCGAGUAGGAUUUUAACUUUUUUCAUUUUCCAUAUUAUGCUGAUUUGAUUUUCGUAAAUAAAAUUCUGAACUUGAUUCGUUUUA